RNAcentral lists this ribosomal RNA (1432 nucleotides) under uncultured organism. Its description in RNAcentral is "16S ribosomal RNA". It matches the Rfam family "Bacterial small subunit ribosomal RNA". The record is from RNAcentral.
GCUUAACACAUGCAAGUCGAACGGAAAGGCCCUGCUUUUGUGGGGUGCUCGAGUGGCGAACGGGUGAGUAACACGUGAGUAACCUGCCCUUGACUUUGGGAUAACUUCAGGAAACUGGGGCUAAUACCGGAUAGGAGCUCCUGCUGCAUGGUGGGGGUUGGAAAGUUUCGGCGGUUGGGGAUGGACUCGCGGCUUAUCAGCUUGUUGGUGGGGUAGUGGCUUACCAAGGCUUUGACGGGUAGCCGGCCUGAGAGGGUGACCGGCCACAUUGGGACUGAGAUACGGCCCAGACUCCUACGGGAGGCAGCAGUGGGGAAUAUUGCACAAUGGGCGGAAGCCUGAUGCAGCAACGCCGCGUGCGGGAUGACGGCCUUCGGGUUGUAAACCGCUUUCGCCUGUGACGAAGCGUGAGUGACGGUAAUGGGUAAAGAAGCACCGGCUAACUACGUGCCAGCAGCCGCGGUGAUACGUAGGGUGCGAGCGUUGUCCGGAUUUAUUGGGCGUAAAGGGCUCGUAGGUGGUUGAUCGCGUCGGAAGUGUAAUCUUGGGGCUUAACCCUGAGCGUGCUUUCGAUACGGGUUGACUUGAGGAAGGUAGGGGAGAAUGGAAUUCCUGGUGGAGCGGUGGAAUGCGCAGAUAUCAGGAGGAACACCAGUGGCGAAGGCGGUUCUCUGGGCCUUUCCUGACGCUGAGGAGCGAAAGCGUGGGGAGCGAACAGGCUUAGAUACCCUGGUAGUCCACGCUGUAAACGGUGGGUACUAGGUGUGGGGUCCAUUCCACGGGUUCCGUGCCGUAGCUAACGCUUUAAGUACCCCGCCUGGGGAGUACGGCCGCAAGGCUAAAACUCAAAGGAAUUGACGGGGCCCCGCACAAGCGGCGGAGCAUGCGGAUUAAUUCGAUGCAACGCGUAGAACCUUACCUGGGUUUGACAUGGAUCGGGAGUGCUCAGAGAUGGGUGUGCCUCUUUUGGGGUCGGUUCACAGGUGGUGCAUGGCUGUCGUCAGCUCGUGUCGUGAGAUGUUGGGUUAAGUCCCGCAACGAGCGCAACCCUUGUUCACUGUUGCCAGCACGUUAUGGUGGGGACUCAGUGGAGACCGCCGGGGUCAACUCGGAGGAAGGUGGGGAUGACGUCAAGUCAUCAUGCCCCUUAUGUCCAGGGCUUCACGCAUGCUACAAUGGCUGGUACAGAGAGUGGCGAGCCUGUGAGGGUGAGCGAAUCUCGGAAAGCCGGUCUCAGUUCGGAUUGGGGUCUGCAACUCGACCUCAUGAAGUCGGAGUCGCUAGUAAUCGCAGAUCAGCAACGCUGCGGUGAAUACGUUCCCGGGGCUUGUACACACCGCCCGUCAAGUCAUGAAAGUUGGUAACACCCGAAGCCGGUGGCCUAACCGUUGUGGGGGAGCCGUCGAAGGUGGGACUGGUGAUUAGGACUAAG